Long non-coding RNA from Photinus pyralis (common eastern firefly), 1587 nucleotides. RefSeq lists it as uncharacterized. Lineage: Eukaryota; Metazoa; Arthropoda; Insecta; Coleoptera; Lampyridae. The record is from RefSeq and is a predicted model, not a curated record. The transcript has 3 exons.
UUUCGUAGGAGCGAUAGCUUCCGCUAUCGGGUGGGGGAGCUAACCCCUAAUCCUAUCCCCAAGGAACUACCCCUAGUUUUAUAUAGUAGCUCUUAGGGUCUAGGGCAGCCCCCCCUGGUUUUUGUAGUAAGACGUAGAAGCUAUCCUCAAAGAGAACAGAGUUCGCAGAUUUCAUGAUUCUAAUAAUUGGUAUGGGAAGUUUCAAUCUUGCGAUAGUGUUUACUUAUAGCAGUGAGUGCUCGCGAAUUUGAUAUGGUAGUUUAUCCCAUUUCAUUUCCAUACCGACACCUAUAUACGGGUAUUUAUUGUGUAUGAAUGCGUAAAGUUCGAAAAUCUCCCUUAAAAAGGUGGGAAAUAUGAUGGAAAUAGGAAAUGUGUAUAUCUUUACGGCGAAGUACGUUCUAUAUAAUUAUAAAUUCGACGUUCCGCAGUAUUUAAAAACGGCGUGCAUCCGCAAUCCGAUUUCAAUAAGUGUGUAUGUGGGUAUAUAGACAGGUGGCUGCUUAUAUACCUCAGGGAUACGUGUCCUUGCGCGCAUAAUUUGCAGUUUUAUGAAAAGCGUGACAUUUUAUUGUAUUUAUUCGGCGAUUAUUUUAUAUGGGCGUUUAUAAGUAAUAAGCCGACAGCAGAAAACAUAGUCUACAUCAGAGUUGGACCACGAUAUCAAACUCCAAUGGAGGAUUGUCUUCAUCAUCGUGGUUAAACGGCGUUCGGAUUUAUUAUUAUUAUUAAUAUCUAUACUUUACAUUUAUUGAUCAGGAGUAGAGGAUAAUACAGUUGUGAUAAAUAAAUGCGAUAACAUUGUGAAAUAUUAUGUAUUACAUCAAUUUGUUUGGUAUUCAGUUAAAUCAAUUUUUCUCGGAUCUACAUUUAUAUAACGAUAAUAUUGAUUAUAAGGUGAGCUUCUUAAUUUAAUAUCUAUAAGUAUAAUCCAGCGGCGGAUUUACACAUUUGCGUUCUACGCCAGAUGCAAUUUACCGCCUAUUUCAAGCUUACCAAAUAGGACGAAAAUUUUUUUCGAUCGCUUCACUCGCAAUUAAUGACACUUAGGUAUGUAAAAUCUAUAAUGUAAGUACCGGGUGAUUCAUUAGAACUGAUGACAGUUUGAAUUUCCCGCAAAACAAAAAUUUUUAAAGGUUGGUAAUAAUAGAUUAUCAUUUGCCUAAUUCCAGUGGUGAAUGUAGAAUCACUCUCCAAGGAGAGAGAUUUACAAAUAAGUCGUUGUUAUUAAAUCAAUCACAAUAAUUACGUCGAUUCUCAUAAUCAAGAGCGUGGCAGUUGCUGUAGAACAGAAACCCGGUACGGGUGUAUGUAUUCGUAGAUCUUUAUGGAAAAUUCGUUGGCAUGUUGCAUAAGACACUCCUGUAAUUCGAAAAUAAAGUUAGUAGGUUCUUUGUCUUCAACCACUUCAUCGUUUCUUAGUAAUGGAUGACCUGUUUUUUCUUCUUUGCAAAUGCAAUUCUUGUUUUCAAAUCGAUCAACGAUUCGUUUCUUAUGAUUGGCAAAUGCUUUGCAAGAAAUAAUAAGAUCGGGACACUCUUCCUUCCAUAAACUGCUCUCGACAGGACUGGAGGAUCUUCAAGAAGG